Molecule: ribosomal RNA, 279 nt
Filed under: Triticum aestivum (bread wheat)
Lineage: Eukaryota; Viridiplantae; Streptophyta; Magnoliopsida; Poales; Poaceae
Description: partial small subunit ribosomal RNA
Source: RNAcentral
AUGUCGGCGCAGGAGACGACGCCGAAGCAGGCCUGCUCCACCCGCGCCUUGAUCCGGUCGACCACCUCGAACCCGCGCAGGCUCGUGUUGGGCCCGGCGUCCUUCUCCGCCGUGUUGCCCUUGCUGGAGUCGACCAGCACCGACGCCUCGCAGCCGCCCACGAAGCAGUCGUGGAAGUGGAGCCGGAGGAGGCCCGCCGCGAGGCCCGGGUUGCCGGACACCGCCUUGCUCACCUCCUGCUGCACGAUGAUCUCCGCCGCCGGGCACGAGCUGUCGUAG